UGUUUGAUUGAGGGUAAUGGGGUUACACCGGUUGCAUAAUUGUGAACGAGUACAUUUUGUCGUUUUUCCCUUCUUUUGCUAUUGUUGAUGUUAUUAAAAAGUUGGAGACAAAUUCCAUGGUUGAUGAUCGAGUAAUUACUCUUAGGAUUAUAGGAUAACGAUUGGAAGAGCAUGAUGGUGGUAUUGGAUUAAUUACAAAGGAUUUUACUUGUGCAUAAUAUUCUAUAGUUACGGGUCUUGAUACAUGAUAGUUGGUAUAUAUUUAUCUUUCGUGGUUGAAUUUUUAUUAUACAAUAUCAUAUCACGAUUCAAGUUUUAUAUAUAUUGAGAUAAGUAAUUAAAUAUUAAGGCCAUUGUAUUAUAUAAAUAUCAUUAGAUUUAUGGAAUUGGAGAAUGGAAACUUAACCCUAGACUUGAAAUUUGGAAGUAUGAGGGUUGACAUGAUAAUUGGCAUCAAAAUUUAGGAACUUGAUUUUAGGUUUGUGUAAGUUUUUGGGUCUAGGCUAGACCUAUAGUAAUAUGGUUGUUGUUAGUUUUGAAAAUUUAUUGUGAUUAAUUAUUUGAAUAGAUUGCAUUGAUUUGGAAGCCUAACGAAAGGGGAAGACU
This 606-nucleotide long non-coding RNA is filed under the name Solanum tuberosum (potato). Its description in RNAcentral is "long non-coding RNA (STUB_LNC011822)". The record is from RNAcentral. Lineage: Eukaryota; Viridiplantae; Streptophyta; Magnoliopsida; Solanales; Solanaceae.